UUUCGGUUACUGGCCCAAUGCUCUAACCACUAGGCUACCUGGUGGCGCUUGGCUUGUGCACACAACAUUCUGUAAUUAAAAUUGUGUUAUUUGACGUGUAUCUUUUUGGACACGCAAAGACCCAAACGGCGUUCGAUUAAAUUCCAAACCAACACGGCUCCCGGUACAUGUCCUCUAUUCAUUUGAAUGUUGUCAUUUGGCCAACGGUCCAAUAUUCCAACACUGCUACAUGAGUUACCCCGGUCCCAGGGAUGGUUAACUUUGGAAAUUCCUUUGGUCUCUACUGAGUGAGGCAACCCAACGCAACCGCGAGUGGGAGUUCUGAGGGAGUACAGCUACAAUCAGAAGAGGCUUUUUCGUACCAGGCAACCAUAAAGAAAGCACUGGCUGUCGUUGGCGAACCCUCCCACCCUCUACACCCUCAGUUCGAGAGGCUUUCUUCUGGCCGGUGCUUCAGAACGCCCAUGGCCAAGAAGAAUUUGUUCAAACAUUAAUUUGUUCCUUGUGCUGUUGGACUACUAAAAAAGUAAAGUAAAUUGUAUUGGUAUCUGGACCUAUCUAUCUAGUGCAGUUGGGACAGUGGUUGUUGUGAGUGAAUGUAUUAAUGUCCUCUAUGUUGUUGUUUAUGCAACAUGAUGCACUGACUGGUUUAAAUGUGUAUGAUGUGAGAAUGUAUGUGAUUCUUUUAAUGAAGGUGAUGCCAAAGAAAAAUGG
Molecule: long non-coding RNA, 714 nt
Organism: Salvelinus namaycush (lake trout)
Lineage: Eukaryota; Metazoa; Chordata; Actinopteri; Salmoniformes; Salmonidae
Exons: 4
Source: RefSeq, a predicted model, not a curated record